GACGGAGGAUGCAAGCGUUUAUCCGGAAUGAUUGGGCGUAAAGCGUCCGCAGGUGGCAGUUCAAGUCUGCUGUCAAAGACCGGGGCUUAACUUCGGAAAGGCAGUGGAAACUGAACAGCUAGAGUAUGGUAGGGGCAGAGGGAAUUCCUGGUGUAGCGGUGAAAUGCGUAGAGAUCAGGAAGAACAUCGGUGGCGAAGGCGCUCUGCUGGACCAUAACUGACACUCAGGGACGAAAGCUAGGGGAGCGAAUGGG
Molecule: ribosomal RNA, 254 nt
Filed under: uncultured bacterium
Lineage: Bacteria
Description: partial 16S ribosomal RNA
Rfam family: Bacterial small subunit ribosomal RNA
Source: RNAcentral